Molecule: ribosomal RNA, 332 nt
Filed under: uncultured bacterium
Lineage: Bacteria
Description: bacterial SSU rRNA
Rfam family: Bacterial small subunit ribosomal RNA
Source: RNAcentral
AACGCAGGUGGUUUGGUAAGUCAGGGGUGAAAGUCCACAGCUUAACUGCGGCACUGCCUUUGAUACUACCUUUCUUGAGUGCAUGAGGGGGAAGCGGAAUUCCGAGUGUAGAGGUGAAAUUCGUAGAUAUUCGGAGGAACACCGGUGGCGAAGGCGGCUUCCUGGCAUGUAACUGACACUCAUGUUCGAAAGCGUGGGGAGCAAACAGGAUUAGAUACCCUGGUAGUCCACGCCCUAAACUAUGGGCACUAGGUGUGGGAGGUAUCGACCCCUUCCGUGCCGCAGCUAACGCAUUAAGUGCCCCGCCUGGGGAGUACGGCCGCAAGGUUGAA